UAAAGAAUCUUCCGCAAUGGGCGCAAGCCUGACGGAGCAACACUGCGUGGAGGAUGAAGGCUUUCGGGUCGUAAACUCCUUUUCUGGGGGAAGAAGUUCUGACGGUACCCCAGGAAUAAGCGACGGCAAACUACGUGCCAGCAGCCGCGGUAACACGUAGGGGGCAAGCGUUGUCCGGAUUCAUUGGGCGUAAAGAGCUCGUAGGCGGUUCGAUAAGUCGGGUGUGAAACCUCCAGGCUCAACCUGGAGACGCCACCCGAUACUGUCGUGACUAGAGUCCAGUAGGGGAGCGUGGAAUUCCUGGUGUAGCGGUGAAAUGCGCAGAUAUCAGGAGGAACACCAGCGGCGAAGGCGGCGCUCUGGGCUGGAACUGACGCUGAGGAGCGAAAGCGUGGGGAGCGAACAGGAUUAGAUACCCGAGUAGUCCCUGAGCGGGCUGGCAAGGCGCAU
Molecule: ribosomal RNA, 450 nt
Filed under: uncultured bacterium
Lineage: Bacteria
Description: bacterial SSU rRNA
Rfam family: Bacterial small subunit ribosomal RNA
Source: RNAcentral